RNAcentral lists this microRNA (17 nucleotides) under Corchorus olitorius. RNAcentral's name for it is "hsa-miR-12". The record is from RNAcentral. Lineage: Eukaryota; Viridiplantae; Streptophyta; Magnoliopsida; Malvales; Malvaceae.
UCAUAGUGCUUCUUUUU